Molecule: transfer RNA, 74 nt
Filed under: Eilatimonas milleporae
Lineage: Bacteria; Pseudomonadati; Pseudomonadota; Alphaproteobacteria; Kordiimonadales; Kordiimonadaceae
Also listed under: 1 other name
Description: bacterium MD2 tRNA
Rfam family: tRNA
About the family: Transfer RNA (tRNA) molecules are approximately 80 nucleotides in length. Their secondary structure includes four short double-helical elements and three loops (D, anti-codon, and T loops). Further hydrogen bonds mediate the characteristic L-shaped molecular structure. tRNAs have two regions of fundamental functional importance: the anti-codon, which is responsible for specific mRNA codon recognition, and the 3' end, to which the tRNAs corresponding amino acid is attached (by aminoacyl-tRNA synthetases). tRNAs cope with the degeneracy of the genetic code in two manners: having more than one tRNA (with a specific anti-codon) for a particular amino acid; and 'wobble' base-pairing, i.e. permitting non-standard base-pairing at the 3rd anti-codon position.
Source: Rfam by way of RNAcentral
CGGGGAGUGGCGCAGCCUGGUAGCGCAUCUGCUUUGGGAGCAGAGGGUCGCUGGUUCGAAUCCAGUCUCCCCGA